CGCCUACAUGAAGCUGGAAUUGCUAGUAAUCACAGGUCAGCAUACUGUGGUGAAUACGUUCCCGGGCCUUGUACACACCGCCCGUCACACCAUGAGAGUUGAGAAUACCCGAAGCCCAUGUCAAAGUGGUCGAAGGUAGGCUUGAUGAUUGGGGUGAAGUCGUAACAAGGUAAC
This 174-nucleotide ribosomal RNA is filed under the name uncultured bacterium. RNAcentral's name for it is "partial 16S ribosomal RNA". It matches the Rfam family "Bacterial small subunit ribosomal RNA", at positions 1313 to 1500 of the family's 1533-position model. The record is from RNAcentral.